Molecule: long non-coding RNA, 1738 nt
Organism: Benincasa hispida (wax gourd)
Lineage: Eukaryota; Viridiplantae; Streptophyta; Magnoliopsida; Cucurbitales; Cucurbitaceae
Source: RefSeq, a predicted model, not a curated record
GUGAGGAGGCACCGCUUCUCUCGAAGUUAUGGGGCUAUUUUGCCGAGUUCCUUAGAGAGAGUUGUUUCGCGUCCCUAGGUAUUCUCUACCUACCCACUUGUGUUGGUUUCGGGUACAAGUACCUUUUUGUUGAAGGUCGUUCGAGUUUUUCUACUUGGGUCAUCCAAAAUAAAGAUUUUGAGUUGCUCCAACAAACUGAUUUUGAGGGAAAAAGAAUAUUAAAUUUUGUUCUUAACCAGCUUCUGUCAUAACUCAAUCUCAAUAAUCCAAGUCGGGUAAAUUCUUUUCCAAGUUUUAGAUAAUGUUUAUGGUUACAAGGAAACAGGAUAGCAAACUAAUUUAGAAUCACGCUUUUAAUUGCGCUCGUGAACUGCUCGAUUCAAUUCCCAGGAAGCUUGGUAGAAAAUGCCUUCCUCUUGCUCUUAAAGAGGUUAGAAGAAAAAAUAAAUCUAACCCUAAACAUAAAAAACCAUGGGACAGUCUUUUUCUUUCUGCUAAUGGUUUAGUCUUCUACCAUGGGAUUAUAGUUUUUUAGUUAGUUGAGAUUAAAUAAAGCUAACUACCAUGGGACAUUUCUUCCAAGUCUAGCUCCUAAUAGCAUUGGUGGAUAUCAGACUGUUCUUGGUUUUGGUCAGGGCCUUCAAAGGCUGAUCAUUGGAGCACUUCCCCCAACAUACAUUUCCAUUUCUGAUGCAAUUCAAACUGGUGCGUUUAUUUACUAUUUAGACGUGGUUGGUUUCUGCUGGACCUAAGCUUAGGUUGUUUGUCCUUGCCGAGUUUGUUGAUGCAUGGUUAUGGACAGUUGAAGUGCAGCUUGAGAUAGAUCUUGUUAAACAAAUAAUCAUUCAUAGAAUAUGGCUUGAGAUAGAAUAUCAUUUUUUUUUUUUUGUUAUUAUGGAUGCAUCUUGGGUGCUGUGCAUAAUUUUUGGGUAGUUCACUUUUCUAGUCCUAGUGCCAUUAUGUUAUUGGGUAUCUUGCUCCAUGAUUCCUUAUUGGGAUAUGAUAAAUUGAUCCUUAAUUUUGAAUUUUUCGUUGGUUCACUAGAUAGUUCGACACAACAAUGUUGAGCAACUCUUGCUCUUUGGCCUUGCUACAAGUGUUCACUAACCCUCCAUGGAACUUUUCACGUCAUCAUGUAGCAACCAUGUGAUUUGUGCACCAUGUCCCAAGAAAUAAAGGUUGAUGGACUAUCAAAACAUGUAAUAUAUUAGACCACAUGUGAAGGAAAAGAUAAGGUAGGCCAAAAUAGCAAAGGAAAUAAAUGGCUAUCUAUAGCAUUCAAGUGGACAAAAAGCAAAACCAAGACAAGGUUGUAUUGCUUGUGUUGAAGCCUUUUAGAUCUCAAUGUCAAUUUCACUUCAAGAGAAAACUUCAUCACCAAAUUCUCUCCCAUUGUUUGGCUCAAUUUCUCAUGAUCCGAAUUUCACUUCAUCCAACUCGACAACUCAAAGCCCUUUAUCCACAAUCUCAAUCCAGUUUGACUCAAAGAUGGAAGCUCAGUUCUAUGAUGACAUAAUUCUGAACGCUUAUAAAUUUUGUAUUUUGUGAACUUAUAUAGUUGCAAAUUAUAUUUGGUGUACUUUUAUUGUUAGAUAAUUUCAUUAUUUUAUAAUGUACCAAUGGAUUGCAAAUUUUUAUUAUUAUUGCUAUUGUACACCCCAUUAGUUUUAGGUCAAGUGAGAGAUUGUUGGGGUUGAUACCCUAAAUCUCGUAGGGUCCUAUAGUUUGUAAAUAUUGU